This 249-nucleotide small RNA is filed under the name Enterobacter cancerogenus. RNAcentral describes it as "Erse small RNA". Lineage: Bacteria; Pseudomonadati; Pseudomonadota; Gammaproteobacteria; Enterobacterales; Enterobacteriaceae. The record is from RNAcentral.
GCAGAGUUGCUCGCGCCGUAUAUCGGCGACAUUGCAGCAGAAGGGAUCGGCAAAGCCAUUCAGGGCGGGACGGCGAUCCUGCGUAAAACGCUGCAACGACAGCAGCGCUAUGCAGCGGAAGUGUUAACCGAAGAGUGGCGAAUGGCACCGGGACCGCUGGAAGUGGCAUGGUUUGCAGAAGAGACGGCGGCCGUAGAACGUGCGGUUGAUGCAUUAACCAAACGGCUGGAAAAACUGGAGGGCAAAUGA